RNAcentral lists this ribosomal RNA (253 nucleotides) under uncultured bacterium. RNAcentral's name for it is "partial 16S ribosomal RNA". It matches the Rfam family "Bacterial small subunit ribosomal RNA", at positions 524 to 776 of the family's 1533-position model. The record is from RNAcentral.
UACAGAGGUGCCAAGCGUUGCUCGGAAUCACUGGGCGUAAAGGGCGCGUAGGCGGGAUGGCAAGUCGGUCGUGAAAUCCUUCGGCUCAACCGAAGAACGUCGGCCGAUACUGCCGUUCUUGAGGGAUGCAGAGGAGAUUGGAAUUCCCGGUGUAGCGGUGAAAUGUGUAGAGAUCGGGAGGAACACCGGUGGCGAAGGCGGGUCUCUGGGCAUCUCCUGACGCUGAGGCGCGAAAGCGUGGGGAGCAAACGGG